UUGGACUGGUUGUGACAAGGUAGAAGUCAC
This 30-nucleotide non-coding RNA is filed under the name Mus musculus (house mouse). Lineage: Eukaryota; Metazoa; Chordata; Mammalia; Rodentia; Muridae. The record is from RNAcentral.